Non-coding RNA from Salmo salar (Atlantic salmon), 524 nucleotides. The record is from RefSeq and is a predicted model, not a curated record. NCBI's taxonomy places the organism in Eukaryota, Metazoa, Chordata, Actinopteri, Salmoniformes, Salmonidae.
UCCAACAUGGGUAGGUGUGAGGGUAUCCGUCAAAAUCAGAUGUUUCAUGCAUUACGAUACUCAUUUGACUGCAACAUAUUACGCGGCAACAUAUUACAUACAGUGCAUAUGGUUCUAUGAGUUCUAAUAAUGUAAUGAUUUGACCUGCACUGUCAUGCACUCGGCUUUUCAUAACCGUAUCAAAUUAUUGAUUGCUGAUUUGGUGAACCCCAAAAAUGAGCAAAUCAAUGGAUUUAUUUUUUCAAUGAAAGAACCCAGUAUAUAGUAGUUCGAAUGAGGGCAUUUCACCAAGUCAAUACCUGGAGGCGACAGUCCGAACCCAGAGGGACAGUCACAGAUGAAGCGAUCAAGAAAAAGGUAACCGGGAUGCCACAAGGAAACACCAGGGAAGCCACCACCGCGACAACGAAACGCACCUGCGCUUUGAAUGAACUUGGUAAAACGAAACAAUAUUUACUGAAAUUACUGAAAGACAGCAAUUAGGCCUACCUUAGUUCAGCACAAUAAAAAACUGCACUUUCACA